This 78-nucleotide transfer RNA is filed under the name Elusimicrobiota bacterium. RNAcentral describes it as "Elusimicrobia bacterium (mine drainage metagenome) tRNA-Asp". It matches the Rfam family "tRNA". From Rfam's summary of the family: Transfer RNA (tRNA) molecules are approximately 80 nucleotides in length. Their secondary structure includes four short double-helical elements and three loops (D, anti-codon, and T loops). Lineage: Bacteria; Pseudomonadati; Elusimicrobiota. RNAcentral also lists the same sequence under 1 other name. The record is from RNAcentral.
GGGGUCAUGGUGUAGCUGGCCUAACACGCCGCCCUGUCAAGGCGGAGAUCACGGGUUCGAAUCCCGUUGGCCCCGCCA